This is a long non-coding RNA of Hypanus sabinus (Atlantic stingray), 812 nucleotides long. RefSeq lists it as uncharacterized. NCBI's taxonomy places the organism in Eukaryota, Metazoa, Chordata, Chondrichthyes, Myliobatiformes, Dasyatidae. The transcript has 3 exons. The record is from RefSeq and is a predicted model, not a curated record.
AAAUUAGUAAAUGCUACGGCAAUAACUGAGGCUAUUAAUGUUUAACAUUUUUUAUUCAUUAACCAUACUUUGAUUCUUAUCUUACAAUAUUGGCCAAGAAAACUAACUGAUCUAAGUAGUAAUGAAAAAUUGCUUUUGCAUAGGACUUUCACACAUUGUUCCAAUUUAAUAUGCUUCACAGUUUCUUUUCGGUCGGUUAAUGAGGUAAGCAUUCUGCAACAGCAACAAAUCACAAGUAAUGGGAUCAGACAAUGGAUUAUCUGGAGCUUCUGCUUAACUACAACAUCAGUUCAAUCAGGUCAAUGGCAGAUGCAAUCGCAAUGGCCCUUCACAUGGCUUUAGACCACCUGGACAACACAAACACCUAUGUCAGGAUGCUGUUCAUCGACUAUAGCUCAGCAUUUAAUACCAUCAUUCCCACAAUCCUGAUUGACGGAGUAACUGUACCAACUGGGAACAUCAGAAGGGGAAAAUGCUAACAGAAGUUACUAUCAACUUUGGAAUUUCAACCGACUGUCCGACGCUGUGGGCUGUUUGCUAUGUACAAAUUAUUAACAAUCUAAUUACAUAUGUCUUAUAUCAUUGCCAAUCAAUCCUUAAUGCUACUCCCCCUUUUAAAAGCCUGCAUAGCAAUUAAAAUAUAAUGCAGUCUUCUUUCAGUGCAGAACAAAUUUCUUUCCCACAACACAGUCCACAUUUGAUGCAGAAGUUCUUUACCAAUUUUGCAGUAAAUAAUAACCUACUGUGUGCUCAUCAGAGCCAACACUGUAGCUCAGACUCUUAUAUUAUAAAGCUGACACAACUUAGUCAAA